This 406-nucleotide ribosomal RNA is filed under the name Rhodotorula sp. RNAcentral's name for it is "LSU rRNA". It matches the Rfam family "Eukaryotic large subunit ribosomal RNA", at positions 100 to 512 of the family's 3401-position model. The record is from RNAcentral. Lineage: Eukaryota; Fungi; Basidiomycota; Microbotryomycetes; Sporidiobolales; Sporidiobolaceae.
GGGAAGAGCUCAAAUUUAUAAUCUGGCACCUUCGGUGUCCGAGUUGUAAUCUCUAGAAAUGUUUUCCGCGUUGGACCGCACCCAAGUCUGUUGGAAUACAGCGGCAUAGUGGUGAGACCCCCGUAUAUGGUGCGGACGCCCAGCCCUUUGUGAUACAUUUUCGAAGAGUCGAGUUGUUUGGGAAUGCAGCUCAAAUUGGGUGGUAAAUUCCAUCUAAAGCUAAAUAUUGGCGAGAGGCCGAUAGCGAACAAGUACCGUGAGGGAAAGAUGAAAAGCACUUUGGAAAGAGAGUUAACAGUACGUGAAAUUGUUGGAAGGGAAACGCUUGAAGUCAGACUUGCUUUCCGAGCAAUCGGUUUGCAGGCCAGCAUCAGUUUUCCGGGAUGGAUAAUGGUAGAGAGAAGGU